This is an unclassified non-coding RNA of Callithrix jacchus (white-tufted-ear marmoset), 288 nucleotides long. It matches the Rfam family "Metazoan signal recognition particle RNA". From Rfam's summary of the family: The signal recognition particle (SRP) is a universally conserved ribonucleoprotein. Lineage: Eukaryota; Metazoa; Chordata; Mammalia; Primates; Cebidae. The record is from Ensembl.
GCCGGGUGUGGCGGCGCGUGCCUGUAGUCCCAGCUACUCGGGAGGCUGAGGCUGGAGGAUCGCCUGAGUCCAGGAGAUCGGGGCUGCAGUGCGCUGUGCCAAUCAGGUGUCCGCACUAAGUUGGGCAUCAAUAUGGUGACCUCCCGGGAGUGGUUGCCUAAGGAGGGGUGAACCAGCCCAGAUCGGGGACAGAGCAGGUCAAAACUCCCAUGCUGAUCAGUAGUGGGAUCGUGCCUAUGAAUAGCCACUGCACUCCAGCCUGGGCAACAUAGCAAGAGCCCAUCUCUA